GCGUUCUCCUGUUUGCGGACGGCUGCGGGCCUGAGGGCUGGACAGCGCCAUGCCUCAGUACCGGGAACUGUCCCACAUAGGAAGGAACUCUCUGCUCGCCCCUGGGUCCUACCAGCGCAACUAAUUCCAGUUGUAAUCAGAUCUGUGUGGUGCAAAACAAGGCUAGCUGUGGUGGUCUUCCCUCCUCUAAGGAUGUCUCUUCCUCCCUGUAUCCAUCUCUCUAUCUCUGUCUUUAUCUUGUCAAUAAAGAGGGGGUUUAAAAAUG
Long non-coding RNA from Cercocebus atys (sooty mangabey), 265 nucleotides. RefSeq lists it as uncharacterized. NCBI's taxonomy places the organism in Eukaryota, Metazoa, Chordata, Mammalia, Primates, Cercopithecidae. The record is from RefSeq and is a predicted model, not a curated record. The transcript has 2 exons.